Long non-coding RNA from Lagopus leucura (white-tailed ptarmigan), 5286 nucleotides. RefSeq lists it as uncharacterized. NCBI's taxonomy places the organism in Eukaryota, Metazoa, Chordata, Aves, Galliformes, Phasianidae. The transcript is spliced from 5 exons. The record is from RefSeq and is a predicted model, not a curated record.
GGUUCGUUCGGGGGCGGAGGCCGCGGGCCGCCGGCCGCCCUCGUUUGUCCGCGGGCCGUUCUUGUGCCCCGACGUGCCUCUGCGCGCCGCUCUCUGCCGAGGCUGCGGUACACAGAUGCAUAUGCUGCCUGUAAGAGAUUAUGAAGAUACGAGUUCAUACCUUGCUCCUUGCUUCUCAGAUAUGGACGGGUGACAAUCUACAAGCCACAUGAGUGAUCCUCAGCUGCCUUGCCACUCUCUACCAGUAAUCAAAGUGUGGGGGACACAGAAGUGUCUUGGUGAUGGAAUGACAAACCUGCUGUAUGUCAGGCUCCUGAAGCCAGUGAGGGAGAAACAGCUGUCUGAGAUGAAACAACAUUCAACAAAACCUCAUCAAAUGCUUUCAGAGACACGGAUGCCACCUUGGGAUUGAAGUCGUACUGUGUGAAUCUGUUUUGCAGUGGCAACAUGCUGAUGGUGUGAAUUAGUCAUUAGUUUAUGACUCCGAGGAAAAGGACUGGUGAAAAUUGUAAGUUAGAACGUAAGUAAGUGGACACUCACCAUUCAGAAUGAAAUACUGCAUAACCUGUGAGUGUGUUACUAUAAUUUCUGGUCUAUUUCCAAACAAAUGAUGUUAAAACAGGAGUCGGAAAUAUCUGGUAGGGAUUUGAAGUUCAAUGUGGCAGUAACCCCAAAGCCUAUUACUUUACAUUCAAGGUUUCUCCGUUAGACCUCUUUAAUUCAUCCCUGAUUAUAAAUUGCUGUCUGUAAGUUUCCAAAAAAUUGUUUAAUACUCCCAGGCCUAAUGCUCUAAUUUGGGGCAGAAUACAAUACCAUAAUGCCAUAUUUUCAGUGCAGAAUUACACCUUAUCUCCAAUAAACCACCAAUGUCUUCCAGUAUUUUUUAGAUUUAAUGUAUUUCAGCACGCAGAAUCUUUAGCUUGUGUGGUUAAUCUUUUUUCUUAGUCUUUAAGCAGAACUGAGUCUCUUCAUUCUCAGUGCAGAAGUGCAGUACAACAGAAGAACAAAUCCAUUCUGCAGGUGGAAAGAGAAGCUGUGGGUUCAUGGUGAGGACAGCACCCAUCUGCCCCAGAUAAAUGUAAGUCCAUCUUCCCAGCUUGUAGGUGCCUUUGUUUACCUUUUGCUCCAUAACAAAACCAGAAGCUGCUUGAUAAAAUUCCCUUUGGAUUACAACCAUAAAUAAACCCAUUCUGCAUUCUUAAAUACAGAAUGCAGUUUUUGUGGCAGAUAGCUUGUAAGCUGUAAACAUAAAAAUCACAUACGAAUAAAUAAGCGUUGAGAAAGCAGUUAUGUGACAUAAAGUGUGUAUGAAGAAAAUGCUCUGAAUAUGGGAAAAAAUGAAAGGAUAGCUCCACAGCAGUAGUAGCUGUACCUGCUCAAUACACUGAGUUAAGGGAGACUUCUACCUUGCUGUUGUUGUCUCUGUAACUAAUUACAUCUUAAAAUCUUAAAACCACUGACAGUUAAGGGAAAACAAACUUGUGCAUUUGGGCAUGGCAGGUCUUUUCUGCUGCAAGCUUCACAGGAGCUUCUGCCUCCACACUGAUCUUUUCUUACACUGCUCUUAGGUAAUGUGUCUUCUCUCUUGUUUGUAAUUAUUUCUCCCUUUUAUUUGUAAUACACAAAAUAUUUAAGAAGCUCAUGAUUUAAGAGUAAUUAAGAUAGUGCUACCUCAAGAACAUCAAAUGUUACUCUUAUGUACGCUCAUAUUUGUUCUGCUGAGCAGGCCCAUCUCAGUGACAGAGGGAACUGCAAAUAAUACAGGCUGACAUCAAACUAGCUAUUGCUGUAAGCAGGCAGAACAAAAGUUAUUUCUGCAUUUCUUGACACAGAAACACAUGGAUGGCUAUAUAUUGUGUGAAAAAAAACCACUACAUUGUUGUGUGCUUAUGACAAAAAAACAGGAAUCCUUUGCCAAUAAAAUACUGUUAUUUUUGGAUAAACAAAACCAAAAUCAAAGAAGAGCAAACAAGUCUAUAUAUGCCGUGCAUAACACACAGUCCCAUUUCAUCAACAUUAGUGAUUUUAGCAGUGUACUUCCUGAAAUGGGAGUUUUCACUAGAAUGAAAAUUGCUUCCACAUCACUUGGAAGUAAAGCUCACUGCUGUCAGGUUGCCAGAACCCCUAAAUGAGUGCUCAAGCAUCAUUACCUCUUUCAGUGAUUUCAUAUAUUUAUACUUACUGUCACAAGUAGGAGAGGAUCAGCAAGGAUUUGUUCCUUGUUCAGAAGAUCAUGGAGUCUGCUACCUGCCAGCAGGCCCUGCUUCCAGCAGCUGAAGCUCUUACUCAUCACAAAUCUUGUUCCUGACAUACUUCAGCAUCCAGUACUUCUUUUACACCUUCCGAGGUCCUUUAUUUAGGUAUUUCUUCUUCUCCCCAGUUGCUCCAAGCCAGAAACAUAUCCCUUUACAUAGAAGAUUCUUGAAUUUGUUCACACUGCUUUUUUGGCAUUUGUUUCCUUGGUAAGUUCCACUUCUGUAGACUGUUCAGUACUAAGUGUAUUGUGAAAGUCUAGGUGGUAUUCUACAUUAUAAAUCACAGAUACACACAAGAUUGGCAGGAUUCUUGAAUACUGGCCUGCAGCAUCCCAGAUCCAUAGUGCCAGAGAGAGAUGCGGACAGAUCUUUGGUCUUGAAGGCCAGAAUUUGGUCAUAUUCACAGACACGUUUGGAAGCUUGCAAAAGGUGGCCAAGAGAAGGAACAGGGGAUGUCACUGAUGAGCUGUGCAGAAAUGUCACCUCCUGGAGAACCAUCUAGUAGAUGGACUACAUCUGAGUUCUGCUAAUGCUCUUCAUUAAGCAAACACGUUCAGCACUGCUGCAGUCACGACUGGAAUACACAGCACACCAGCAUAUGUUGAAAUCCAGGACGCCCAGUUCAACAGAAAGAGUGAGUAAUAUAAAUGGCAUUAACUGAAAUAAAUUUCAGGAUGUUUUUUGAUGGAAAGCAUGCUCAUAUCUCAAAAUCAAACCUUUCAGUAGACAAAUAAAUGGCUUCAACAUUUUUCAGGGAAAUCUCAGUAGCAUUCCUUGGGCUCGUAGGUCAAGCUUACUACAGUCGAGCAGGCUUAAAUGCAAUAUUACAAUGUUUUUUGCUUCUUACAUAUUUUGAAUGGAACAUAACAAUGAACACACAUUCUUGUGUUUCUGAUGCAUUCUUUUCCUGCAGAAGCCCCAGCUGGUAGUAAAGCAGGUCACAGCACAGACAUUUCUGUAGAGGAGAAGCUCCUGCAGCAGGUGAGCCCUGUACUGACAGCAAGCAGUUCUCACACUGCAACAUUGUGAUUAGCUGUGUUAAGCAACAUAUAAAUCAUGAAGACAAAGUGCUGCUGAGCAGUGAGGCAGCUUUCCCUGUCCAGGUUGUAAGAAGCAGCCACAAUUACCAAAUCAGUGCCUUGGCACUGAAAGUGCACAGCACAGUGGAGCAGGUUAGUGGGCUUGGGUCCCUUCCUCUAGAGGAAAGUUUGUGCUGCAGUUUGGCCUCACCCACCUUCGGGCAGCUGAGUUUCUGUUGACUCGAAAGGAAAGCAAAAAGUUUGAGAAAUGCUGCUAAAAGGCCUCACAUUGUCUGACAUCCUGAGACAAGAAAAAAUGGACGUUGACUGCAAGCCGUAAAGACUCUGACCUGUGUGUAACCUUUCAGUACUGCUGCGUCCUGCUUUUGGUUUUGCCCUGCUCACUUGGGUUAUUCCGUGCAUUGCACAAAGAGUUUCAAAGACAGCUCCUGUAAGCCAGUUACCUGUAACCGAUCCUGGGAGCAGUUACACUGCCAGCACGGAAAUAAAAAUACUGGGCCCAAAAGUCAGCCUUGUCUUGUCUGUCAAUGCAGUUUCCAUGUGCAGGAACAGCUACAGGGGAGCUGCUGCCACCAACCAGGAGUAGCUCUCAGAAGAAGCAUGUAUCCAUGUGGCUCCGUAACAGUGUUGCAAAAAUACCACAUUUGAUCUCUGGGUAAAGUGGAAAAAGCAGAAGGGUGGUUUUUUUACACCACAAAUAGAGACAAGUGCAGGCAGUGCGAUGUACGAACACUUAGAUUUUAAGCCAGCACUUCUGGGCACGCUGUUCAGAAGUGCAAAUGCUUUCAAAAAGUGCCUUUCAGCUCAGCCUGGUAGAGCAGAGGACCCUAAGCAACUGCCAGUGGGCUCACAUCUCACCUCUUGGCUUCACACAUACCCAAGUCCACCUUCAUUCCAGGUGUGUGGAAAUGCCUGCACCUCUCCUUAGUGACAGAGUAAAGCAAAACUGUAUCUGAAGGAUAUUGCACUGAUUUCAGAGAAAAAAAAAUGCAUUUGAUUGUGGGGUAGCACAUACAGUGAGAUUGCUAUCUACCAAAAUCAGAUUAUUUCUGUGCUGACCUUCUGGAGCAAACUUUUCUGACUGAAGUUAUUGUGAGGAGAACGUGGUAGCAAAAUGGGCAAACCAUUAAUUAUCCUACUAUUUUCCACCUAUGCUUUUGAGUCCUCUGCAUCAGGUGGAAAUGAUGUCUUCUUGUCCCCCAGGUACAGAGGAUAAAAGUGUCAGUGACGCAUUUUCACUUCUGGCUCAAUGCAUCGGGACAUUUCCCCACCUUCUAACAGCUAAAUGUUAUCAGGUCUCCUCUCACCUUUUCAACAGAAUGCUUCAACACUACUCACCAGUUUUUGUUCAAGACAGCAGGGAAUGAAGCUCAUCAAACACAUUGCCUACAGCAUGCAGUCUGACACACUGGACUAAUAAUAGCUUUCCUGUCAUCACAAAAUAUCACAUUUAUGUGUGGCAUCCAGAAUGGAGCCAACCAAACUGAGCUGCAUGGCCACACGUCUGUCUACACACACUUAUUCACAUUGGUGGGCACCAGGAAAGGACAGGCAGCAGAGCAGCCAUCCACAUACUGUAGACACGAUGUGUUUUUCAGACAAGUUUCCUUCUCUUAAGCUCUGUAAUUGCUGUCAUUAACACUGAGCAGUAUGACAGCAAAAGAAGAAUCCCACAAAUGUAAUGGAUCAACUUAUGAAAAGUUAAAAUUUGUCAAUUUUAAGUAGCUAACCAUCAUUUCCCUUUUGUCAUAUAUUAGGAGGGCCACCAAGAUGAUCAGAGGGAUAGGGAUGGAGCUCCUCUCCUGUGAAGAGUGCUUAAGGGAACAGGCCUUUAUUUAGCUUGGAUAAGAGAAGGCUCUGGGGAGACCUCACUGUAAUCCUCCAAUAUUUGAAGGGAGCUUAUAAACAAGAGAGGGAAUGACUUUUUACAAUGAUAGAUAAUGAUAGGACAAGGGGGAAUGGUUUUAAUUGGUUUUUUUUUUUUUGGUCUA